This 283-nucleotide unclassified non-coding RNA is filed under the name root metagenome. Its description in RNAcentral is "partial contains small subunit ribosomal RNA, internal transcribed spacer 1, and 5.8S ribosomal RNA". The record is from RNAcentral.
UUUCCAUAGGUGAACCUGCAGAAGGAUCAUUGUCGUGACCCUGAACAAAACAGACCGCGCACACGUCAUCCAAUCCGCCGGUGACGGCAGCGUUCAUUGCUCGGCCAAGUCCUCGACCGCCUCCCCUCCUCGGAGUGGGGGCUCGGGGUAACAAAACCCAUGGCGCCGAAGGCGUCGAGGAACACUAUGCCUAACCCGGGGGCAUGGCUAGCUCGCUAGUCGUCCCCCGUGUUGCAAAGCUAUUUAAUCCACACGACUCUCGGCAACGGAUAUCUCAGCUCUC